RNAcentral lists this ribosomal RNA (349 nucleotides) under uncultured bacterium. RNAcentral's name for it is "bacterial SSU rRNA". It matches the Rfam family "Bacterial small subunit ribosomal RNA", at positions 8 to 353 of the family's 1533-position model. The record is from RNAcentral.
AGAGUUUGAUCCUGGCUCAGAUUGAACGCUGGCGGCAUGCUUUACACAUGCAAGUCGAACGGCAGCACGAGGGAGCUUGCUCCCGGGUGGCGAGUGGCGCACGGGUGAGUAAUACAUCGGAACGUGUCCUGUUGUGGGGGAUAACUGCUCGAAAGGGUGGCUAAUACCGCAUGAGACCUGAGGGUGAAAGCGGGGGAUCGUAAGACCUCGCGCAAUUGGAGCGGCCGAUGGCCCGAUUAGCUAGUUGGUGAGGUAAAGGCUCACCAAGGCGACGAUCGGUAGCUGGUCUGAGAGGACGACCAGCCACACUGGGACUGAGACACGGCCCAGACUCCUACGGGAGGCAGCA